AACGAACGCUGGCGGCAUGCCUAACACAUGCAAGUCGAACGAUGGUCUUCGGAUCAUAUUGGCUCACGGGUGCGUAACGCGUGGGAAUCUGCCCUUGGGUUCGGAAUUACAGUUGGAAACGACUGCUAAUACCGGAUGAUGUCGAUAAGACCAAAGAUUUAUCGCCCGAGGAGGAGCCGGCGUCGGAUUAGCUAGUUGGUGGGGUAAAGGCCUACCAAGGCGACGAUCCGUAGAUUGUCUGAGAGGAUGAUCCACCACACUGAGACUGAGACACGGCCCAGACUCCUACGGGAGGCAGGAGUGGGGAAUAUUGGAAAAUGGGCGCAAGCCUGAUCCAGCAAUGCCGCGUGAGUGAUGAAGGCCUUAGAGUUGUAAAGCUCUUUUACCCGGGAAGAUAAUGACGGUACCGGGAGAAUAAGCCCCGGCUAACUCCGUG
Molecule: ribosomal RNA, 436 nt
Filed under: uncultured bacterium
Lineage: Bacteria
Description: partial 16S ribosomal RNA
Rfam family: Bacterial small subunit ribosomal RNA
Source: RNAcentral